Molecule: long non-coding RNA, 107 nt
Filed under: Monodelphis domestica (gray short-tailed opossum)
Lineage: Eukaryota; Metazoa; Chordata; Mammalia; Didelphimorphia; Didelphidae
Description: lncRNA (ENSMODG00000047231.1)
Source: RNAcentral
GAGACUUUUGUACUGGAGCUAACUCUGGUCUGGUUUCUCAUAGAUAUCCACCUGCUGCUUCUGUUGAAAUGGCACAAACUUAAGGAAAUCGAACUGUUAUUAUACCU